GAUGAACGCUAGCUACAGGCUUAACACAUGCAAGUCGAGGGGAAACGACAUCGAAAGCUUGCUUUUGGUGGGCGUCGACCGGCGCACGGGUGAGUAACGCGUAUCCAACCUGCCCACCACUUGGGGAUAACCUUGCGAAAGUAAGACUAAUACCCAAUGAUAUCCCACGAAGGCAUCCGAAUGGGAUUAAAGAUUUAUCGGUGAUGGAUGGGGAUGCGUCUGAUUAGCUUGUUGGCGGGGUAACGGCCCACCAAGGCAACGAUCAGUAGGGGUUCUGAGAGGAAGGUCCCCCACAUUGGAACUGAGACACGGUCCAAACUCCUACGGGAGGCAGCAGUGAGGAAUAUUGGUCAAUGGGCGAGAGCCUGAACCAGCCAAGUAGCGUGCAGGAUGACGGCCCUAUGGGUUGUAAACUGCUUUUAUAAGGGAAUAAAGUGGGUCUCGUGAGACUUUUUGCAUGUACCUUAUGAAUAAGGACCGGCUAAUUCCGUG
This 492-nucleotide ribosomal RNA is filed under the name uncultured bacterium. RNAcentral's name for it is "bacterial SSU rRNA". It matches the Rfam family "Bacterial small subunit ribosomal RNA", at positions 28 to 507 of the family's 1533-position model. The record is from RNAcentral.